This 434-nucleotide ribosomal RNA is filed under the name uncultured Oscillospiraceae bacterium. RNAcentral's name for it is "bacterial SSU rRNA". It matches the Rfam family "Bacterial small subunit ribosomal RNA", at positions 341 to 792 of the family's 1533-position model. The record is from RNAcentral. Lineage: Bacteria; Bacillati; Bacillota; Clostridia; Eubacteriales; Oscillospiraceae.
ACGGGAGGCAGCAGUGGGGAAUAUUGCACAAUGGGGGAAACCCUGAUGCAGCGACGCCGCGUGAGGGAAGAAGGUUUUCGGAUUGUAAACCUCUGUCUUCAGGGACGAUAGUGACGGUACCUGAGGAGGAAGCUCCGGCUAACUACGUGCCAGCAGCCGCGGUAAUACGUAGGGAGCGAGCGUUGUCCGGAAUUACUGGGUGUAAAGGGAGCGUAGGCAGGGCAGCAAGUUGAAUGUGAAAUCUAUGGGCUCAACCCAUAAACUGCGUUCAAAACUGUUGCUCUUGAGUGAAGUAGAGGUAGGCGGAAUUCCUAGUGUAGCGGUGAAAUGCGUAGAUAUUAGGAGGAACACCAGUGGCGAAGGCGGCCUACUGGGCUUUAACUGACGCUGGGGCUCGAAAGCGUGGGUAGCAAACAGAAUUAGAUACCCUGGUA